AAAGGAAUUGGCUCACAUGAUUGUCAAGUCUGAAAUCUGUAGAGCUGGUUGGCCGGAAAUUCAGUGAAUGCAGCCCCCAGUCACGUACCCGUGGCUUGUGAAAAGCACUGUGAAAAUCCCUGUCCUGUUCUGUUCCAUUCUGAUUACCUGCAGUGCAUGCAGCCCUCAGUCACAUACCCAUGGCCUGCUCAAUUGAUCACGACCCUCUCACAUGGACCCCCUUAGAGUUGUAAGCCCUUAAAAGGGACAGGAAUUGCUCACUCGGGGAGCUCGGUUUUUGGAGAUGAGAGUCCACCGAUGCUCCCAGCUGAAUAAAGC
Molecule: long non-coding RNA, 318 nt
Filed under: Homo sapiens (human)
Lineage: Eukaryota; Metazoa; Chordata; Mammalia; Primates; Hominidae
Description: HSALNT0077602
Source: RNAcentral